UGCCAGCCGCCGCGGUAACACGGGGGGCGCAAGCGUUAUUCGGAAUUAUUGGGCGUAAAGGGCGCGCAGGCGGUCUUGUCAGUCAGGUGUGAAAGCCCGGGGCUCAACCCCGGAUGGUCACUUGAAACAGCAAGACUUGAGUACUGGAGAGGAAAGCGGAAUUCCUGGUGUAGAGGUGAAAUUCGUAGAUAUCAGGAGGAACACCGAUGGCGAAGGCAGCUUUCUGGACAGAUACUGACGCUGAGGCGCGAAGGCGUGGGUAGCGAACGGGAUUAGAUA
Molecule: ribosomal RNA, 279 nt
Filed under: uncultured bacterium
Lineage: Bacteria
Description: partial 16S ribosomal RNA
Rfam family: Bacterial small subunit ribosomal RNA
Source: RNAcentral